Molecule: ribosomal RNA, 253 nt
Filed under: uncultured bacterium
Lineage: Bacteria
Description: partial 16S ribosomal RNA
Rfam family: Bacterial small subunit ribosomal RNA
Source: RNAcentral
UACGUAGGGUGCAAGCGUUAAUCGGAAUUACUGGGCGUAAAGCGUGCGCAGGCGGUUUUGUAAGUUUGUCGUGAAAUCCCCGGGCUUAACCUGGGAAUUGCGAUGAAGACUGCAAGGCUAGAAUCUGGCAGAGGGGGGUAGAAUUCCACGUGUAGCAGCGAAAUGCGUAGAGAUGUGGAGGAACACCGAUGGCGAAGGCAGCCCCCUGGGUCAAGAUUGACGCUCAUGCACGAAAGCGUGGGGAGCAAACAGG